This 996-nucleotide ribosomal RNA is filed under the name Lucicutia polaris. Its description in RNAcentral is "SSU rRNA". It matches the Rfam family "Eukaryotic small subunit ribosomal RNA", at positions 53 to 1042 of the family's 1831-position model. The record is from RNAcentral. Lineage: Eukaryota; Metazoa; Arthropoda; Copepoda; Calanoida; Lucicutiidae.
GCAUGUCUAAGUACAAGCCUCACUAAGGUGAAACCGCGAAUGGCUCAUUAAAUCACACCUAAUCUACUGGAUACUAGUCAGUUACUUGGAUACCUGAGGUAAUUCUUCAGCUAAUACAUGCACACAAGCCUCGAACUUACGUGAGAGGCGCUUUUAUUAGAUCAAAACCAGUCGGCUUCGGCCGUCCCUUUGAUGACUCUGAAUAACUUUGGGCUGAUCGCAUGGCCUCGAGCCGGCGACAUAUCCUUCGAAGGUGUGCCCUAUCAACUGUCGACUGUGGCAUAGACGCCCACAGUGGUUUUGACGGGUAACGGGGAAUCAGGGUUCGAUUCCGGAGAGGGAGCCUUAAAAACGGCUACCACAUCCAAGGAAGGCAGCAGGCACGCAAAUUACCCAAUGACCGAAGGUCGAGGUAGUGACGAAAAAUAACGAUACAGGACUCAUCCGAGGCCCUGUAAUCGGAAUGAGUUAACUUUAAAACCGUACCACGAGGAUCUAUUGGAGGGCAAGUCUGGUGCCAGCAGCCGCGGUAAUUCCAGCUCCAAUAGCGUAUAUUAAAGUUGUUGCGGUUAAAAAGCUCGUAGUUGGAUCUCGGCGGGUAGAAGGCGGUUCGCUUGCUAGUGUUACUGCCUUAUUACCCGUAGUUUUUUGCUAGAGGUUUCAGGGUGCUCUUAAUCGAGUGUCCUGGGAUGCUAGCAGGUUUACUUUGAAAAAAUUAGAGUGCUCAAAGCAGGCUACUACGCUUGAAUAUUCGUGCAUGGAAUAAUAGAAAUAGGAAGUCGUUUCUAUUUUUGUUGGUUUUCGGAAAUCGACUUAAUGAUUAAUAGGGACAGUCGGGGGGCAUUUGUAUUCAAACGACAGAGGUGAAAUUCUUGGACCGUUUGAAGACAAACUACUGCGAAAGCAUUUGCCAAGAAUGUUUUCAUUAAUCAAGAACGAAAGUUAAGAGGUUCGAAGGCGAUUAGAUACCGCCCUAGUUCUAACCAUAAACGAUGC